GAUGAACGCUGGCGGCGUGCUUAACACAUGCAAGUCGAACGGUGAAAGAGAGCUUGCUCUCUGGAUCAGUGGCGAACGGGUGAGUAACACGUGAGCAAUCUGCCCUUGACUCUGGGAUAAGCGCUGGAAACGGCGUCUAAUACUGGAUACGAGCUGCGAAGGCAUCUUCAGCAGCUGGAAAGAACUUCGGUCAAGGAUGAGCUCGCGGCCUAUCAGCUUGUUGGUGAGGUAAUGGCUCACCAAGGCGUCGACGGGUAGCCGGCCUGAGAGGGUGACCGGCCACACUGGGACUGAGACACGGCCCAGACUCCUACGGGAGGCAGCAGUGGGGAAUAUUGCACAAUGGGCGCAAGCCUGAUGCAGCAACGCCGCGUGAGGGACGACGGCCUUCGGGUUGUAAACCUCUUUUAGCAGGGAAGAAGCGAAAGUGACGGUACCUGCAGAAAAAGCACCGGCCAACUACGUGCCAGCAGCCGCAGUAA
This 482-nucleotide ribosomal RNA is filed under the name uncultured bacterium. RNAcentral describes it as "partial 16S ribosomal RNA". It matches the Rfam family "Bacterial small subunit ribosomal RNA", at positions 28 to 523 of the family's 1533-position model. The record is from RNAcentral.